CCUACGGGAGGCAGCAGUGGGGAAUAUUGGGCAAUGGGCGCAAGCCUGACCCAGCAACGCCGCGUGAAGGAAGAAGGCUUUCGGGUUGUAAACUUCUUUUAAGGGGGAAGAGCAGAAGACGGUACCCCUUGAAUAAGCCACGGCUAACUACGUGCCAGCAGCCGCGGUAAUACGUAGGAUGCGAGCGUUAUCCGGAUUUAUUGGGUUUAAAGGGUGCGUAGGCGGUUUUUUAAGUUAGUGGUUAAACGUCGGGGCUUCACCUUGAUUUGCCAUUAAUACUGUAAGACUCGAGUUCAGACGAGGUAGGCGGAAUAAGUUAAGUAGCGGUGAAAUGCUUAGAUAUAACUUAGAACUCCGAUAGCGAAGGCAGCUUACCAGACUGCGACUGACGCUGAAGCACGAGAGCGUGGGUAGCGAACAGGAUUAGAUACCCCAGUAGUC
RNAcentral lists this ribosomal RNA (441 nucleotides) under uncultured bacterium. Its description in RNAcentral is "partial 16S ribosomal RNA". It matches the Rfam family "Bacterial small subunit ribosomal RNA", at positions 338 to 795 of the family's 1533-position model. The record is from RNAcentral.